AAAGAAAUAAUUAAGAAAGCUUCUAACUUUCAUAAAAGCAUUAAAUUGUUUAU
RNAcentral lists this transfer RNA (53 nucleotides) under Porrostoma sp. UPOL A00041. RNAcentral describes it as "partial tRNA-Ser". The record is from RNAcentral. RNAcentral also lists the same sequence under 1 other name. Lineage: Eukaryota; Metazoa; Arthropoda; Insecta; Coleoptera; Lycidae.